RNAcentral lists this ribosomal RNA (254 nucleotides) under uncultured bacterium. RNAcentral's name for it is "partial 16S ribosomal RNA". It matches the Rfam family "Bacterial small subunit ribosomal RNA", at positions 524 to 776 of the family's 1533-position model. The record is from RNAcentral.
UACGUAGGGGGCAAGCGUUGUCCGGAUUUACUGGGCGUAAAGGGCGCGUAGGCGGCCACUGCAAGUCAGUUGUGAAAUCUCCGGGCUUAACCCGGAACGGUCAACUGAUACUGCAGGGCUAGAGUGCAGAAGGGGCAACUGGAAUUCUCGGUGUAGCGGUGAAAUGCGUAGAUAUCGAGAGGAACACCUGCGGCGAAGGCGGGUUGCUGGGCUGACACUGACGCUGAGGCGCGAAAGCCAGGGGAGCGAACGGG